AUCCUUUGCUCAGUCUGCCGCUUCCUCUGCAAGAAGCUCGGUCCAGACAGCACCAAACUCUCUAGAGGAAGGCCCACUGGUGAUCCAGGAGAGGAGAAGGUGGAGGAGCGACUUAGGAGAUUUGCACUUGUGGCGGCAGGCUCUCUGGAAUAACUGAACCUGCCAGGCUUCCCCAUCACCAUGUUCCCUCCUCAACAGCCAGCUGCGUGCCUGCUCGACCACACAGUGGUCAGCAGGUCUAGGCUUCAGAAAAACCUUACAGUUUGUCGCCCCCUGUCGGGUCCGGUCCCGGCUUGGCUGCGCAGGUUCCCGCGCAGCUGGCUGGAUGAGGUGGCGCAAAGGUUGGAGUGCAGAAGGCAAAGUGUCUCUUCAACUUUCCGGGCUGCGGCUUGGUUAUCUCCACCGCUCUGGAGCAGCUAAUGGUCCAUGAGGCGCACGCAAAGGUCUCCAGCAAUAAACUAAACAAGCAGAAGCAAGUUCCACUCUGGACCCGCAGGUGCGCGGCUUGAUUCUGCCGGGAAGGAACCCAGAGUAGGAGCAAACACGCCGCUUUCGCAGAGCAGCUCUGAAGUAGCCUGCGUCGGUUUUCCAGCAGCCGGGGACUGGUAGAACUGGGUUUCGCUGCUCCAGUCUCUCCUGACUCAGGCCUUGCACUUUCGUUGUUUCAUGAACACUGAGAAGUGCGUUACAUGGUUUGAAAUUAAAGUCAAACAAACGAUCUCUUUUCUUUUAAAAAAAAAAAAAAAAAAAAAA
Molecule: long non-coding RNA, 753 nt
Filed under: Mus musculus (house mouse)
Lineage: Eukaryota; Metazoa; Chordata; Mammalia; Rodentia; Muridae
Description: paired box 1 divergent transcript (Pax1dt)
Source: RNAcentral